RNAcentral lists this ribosomal RNA (523 nucleotides) under Lycengraulis grossidens (Atlantic sabretooth anchovy). RNAcentral describes it as "partial large subunit ribosomal RNA". It matches the Rfam family "Bacterial large subunit ribosomal RNA", at positions 1849 to 2568 of the family's 2925-position model. The record is from RNAcentral. Lineage: Eukaryota; Metazoa; Chordata; Actinopteri; Clupeiformes; Engraulidae.
GAGGUCCCACCUGCCCUGUGACUUUAAGUUUAACGGCCGCGGUAUCCUAACCGUGCGAAGGUAGCGCAAUCAAUUGCCUUUUAAAUGAAGGCCUGUAUGAAUGGUAUAACGAGGGUCUGACUGUCUCUUUUUCCUAGUCAGUUAAACUGAUCUGUCCGUGCAGAAGCGGGCAUUACUAUACAAGACGAGAAGACCCUAUGGAGCUUUAGACGUUAGCCACCAUGAACAAGCAGCUUAAGACCACACAAGCCUCAAACACCCAUGAACCCUGGUAAGACAGUCUUAGGUUGGGGCGACCGCGGGAGAAAACAAAGCUCCCAAGCAGACUGGGGAAACCCUCAAGCCAAGAGUUACAACUCUAAGCCACAAAAAUUUUGACUGAGAUGAUCCGAUCUAACGAUCGAUUAACGAACCAAGUUACCCUAGGGAUAACAGCGCAAUCCCCUCCCAGAGUCCCUAUCGACGAGGGGGUUUACGACCUCGAUGUUGGAUGAGGACAUCCUAAUGGUGCAGCCGCUAUUAA